This 253-nucleotide ribosomal RNA is filed under the name uncultured bacterium. RNAcentral describes it as "partial 16S ribosomal RNA". It matches the Rfam family "Bacterial small subunit ribosomal RNA", at positions 524 to 776 of the family's 1533-position model. The record is from RNAcentral.
AACGUAGGAGACAAACGUUAUCCGGAGUUACUGGGCGUAAAGGGCGCGUAGGCGGUGUGUCAAGUCAGGCGUGAAAGCCCCGGGCUCAACCUGGGAACCGCGCUUGAGACUGGCACGCUCGAGUUCGGGAGAGGAUGGUGGAAUUCCCAGUGUAGAGGUGAAAUUCGUAGAUAUUGGGAAGAACACCGAUGGCGAAGGCAGCCAUCUGGACCGACACUGACGCUGAGGCGCGAAAGCGUGGGGAGCAAACAGG